This 62-nucleotide transfer RNA is filed under the name Oxycarenus lugubris. RNAcentral's name for it is "tRNA-Ile". RNAcentral also lists the same sequence under 1 other name. Lineage: Eukaryota; Metazoa; Arthropoda; Insecta; Hemiptera; Oxycarenidae. The record is from RNAcentral.
AAUAAGGUGCCUGAAUAAAGGGCUAUCUUGAUAGGAUAGAUCAUGUAAUUUUACCCUUAUUA